GGGGGCGGCAGCGGCGGUGAGGAAGACACGAGUCCCAGGGAGUCCUAGGAGCGCGCAGUGGGUGGGGCUGGACAGCGAGUUCCACUUCCAUGCCGCCUGCGUGGGCCUCGCGCCUACAGAUGGCCAACCUGCUGUACCACAGCCAGCACCACAUCAAGAUUUGGUUCCAGAACCGGCGCAUGAAGUACAAGUAGGAUUAUGGGCCAAGGAGAUGGCCUCGUUGUGGGGGGCCCCUCUCCCUGGCAGAGCAAGCCGUCCACGCCGACUUCAGAAACGCCCUGCAGUCCAUGACCCCCGCCCUCCUUCCGCAAAGCCCACCAGAAUGCCUACUCGCUGCCCUCCAACUACCAGCCACCUCUCCAAGGCUGCGGUGCCCCGCAGAAGCAGCCACCCCCAACCCUGGCGCCCAAUUAUAAGCCCCAGGUCCUCCAAGCCAACUGAGACGCCUACAGGACGCCCACCAUGUAGGGCAGCCCUGUGUACCUGGGC
RNAcentral lists this long non-coding RNA (489 nucleotides) under Homo sapiens (human). RNAcentral describes it as "non-protein coding lnc-MRPL19-10:1". The record is from RNAcentral. Lineage: Eukaryota; Metazoa; Chordata; Mammalia; Primates; Hominidae.